Sorghum bicolor (sorghum) is the source of this 650-nucleotide long non-coding RNA. RefSeq lists it as uncharacterized. The record is from RefSeq and is a predicted model, not a curated record. Lineage: Eukaryota; Viridiplantae; Streptophyta; Magnoliopsida; Poales; Poaceae. The transcript is spliced from 3 exons.
GGAUGGUACAACAUCAAUUAGUACUAUAUUGUUUAUUGAUAUAGAUGUAGAGAGUUUUCCUCCCUAUAUAUAUACCAACCCUUUUGCAAAGCACCCCACAACUAUUGUCAGAGAAGUCCCUAGUUUGGCAAGUCUCUCGUGUAGUAAAUUAAAAUUAUCUUUUACUAUCAAUGUCACCGGCGCAGUCAACCAGCCAUAACUGGAGUUCAAUCGAUCCGUACCUCAUCAUCAUCAUGUUCUCACUAUGGAUCCUUAUUGAUCGUGUGAUGACUUGCAACGGGCCAUGUCGUCAGCUCCGAGGCCACUCGAGAACCCUCAUCAUGGAAAGAUUAAGCCAUGAUAGUCUCCUCUAAGUCCAGCCGUCAUCCCUAUCACAUAUAUAUCUUGGCUCACCAUCGUCCAGCUAUCGUUCUUGCCGAACUGCAUCUUAACAGCGACCAGAGCAGCACCGUAUGCUGACCUGCAUGCGACUUUCUUCCAUAUUUUCAACGACCAAGUAAACUACCAAAGGCCAAGGCCAUUCGUGCGUGCCAGCGUACGUGUAUGGCAAGCAGGACAGAGCAACACGUCCACCUGCAUAUGCGUAUUAAAUCCUUUUGGUGUGUGUUUGCCGCCAGUCAUCUACGCACUUUCAAUACAUGCAUCCUUUC